GAUUGAACCCCUAGCCUGGGAACCUCCAUAUGCUGCAUGUAUGGCCCUAAAAAGACCAAAAAAAAAAAAAGCACCUCACCCUCCAGACAGGAGCCCAGCUGAGCCCGGCAACCCUGCGCUCCCUACUCCCACCUCAUCCUUGGGUACCCAGCCUUGUGCUUCCUUGCCCCCCAAGUCCAAUACAUUUCCAGGUCCUGCUGAGUUAGCUCCUAACUAUGUGUCGAACUCAGCCCACGGUGACCUUGCUCGGCCCAAAGAGGAAUCUGACACUUUCGGCCCCUCAUUUGAAACAUAUUAGGGUCCCUCCACCAAGCGGGGGCACCAGGCACGGACCCCGGAUCACACCCCAGCCCUGCCACCACUCCUGCCUGGCUGACACCAGCCAGCCGCCUGCUCUCUCCGUGCUCCUGGUUCAGCAUGUGUGAAACGGGUAUGACGGUGUCUUCCCCGUGUUGUUAGGAGGCCCGAAUUAGCUCAUUCUGUUUCUGGAAGGGGCCCAAGACAGGGCCUGGCACACAGUAACUGCUGUAUACAUGUUUAUUAAAGUAAAUAACUUUCUAAUUUCCCGUUUGAUUUCUUUUUGACCACGGGUAAUUUAUAAAUGUUAGGUUCCAAGUUUUUGGGGUUUCCCAGACAUCUUUUUGUCAUUGGUUUCUAAUAUUUAAUUCCACUGUGGUUAGAGAACGUAUUUUGCAUGCUUUGCAUCCUUUCAAAUUUAUUGUCUUAUGGCCUAGAUUAUGGUCCUUCUUGCCAAAUGUUCUGUACACAAAAUAAUUAUGCUGAGGGAAAGAUGCCAGUCGUUUAUAUAAAAUUUUAGGCAAUGCAAACUAGUGGCAAAGUGGAGGGGGGGUUGCCUGGUGGGGUGAGGGGUGGGGAAGUGGGGAGGUAACCGCCAGAGGGAACUUCAGGUGAUGAAUCUUUUCAGUAUCUGGAUUGCAGGGGUGAUUUCACAGGUGUAUGUGCACACGUAUCAAAUGUACUCUAAACGUGAAGUAUAUUGCAUGUCCAUUACAGCUCAUAAAGGUUUUUUUUUAAUUGAUGUGCAGCAAUGACCUUGGAGAAAUGUUCAGCUUCAGGUUAUAAUGAUGUCAGAAGAUUGAGUGGUGCACACUUUGGAGAACGCGGUACCGUUGACGUCGAGGAGGCUGUCUGUUGCUGCACAGCUCAAGAUCAGACCCAGGACCGGCGGCCACCUACCCUCUCUGCGCAGAAGGAAGAGCAGAGCGUUUGAAGGUAGCAGAUUUGGCCAAACAGCCUCCAGACCAAUGUCACCAAUCAACACUCCAGGCAGAGGCCGUUUCUCUACGUUAGCCUAACGCUG
This is a non-coding RNA of Sus scrofa (pig), 1321 nucleotides long. The record is from RefSeq and is a predicted model, not a curated record. Lineage: Eukaryota; Metazoa; Chordata; Mammalia; Artiodactyla; Suidae.